ACACGGAGGGCGCAAGCGUUGCUCGGAAUCACUGGGCGUAAAGCGGGUGUAGGCGGUCUAGCAAGUCAGAUGUGAAAGCCCACGGCUCAACCGUGGAAGUGCAUCUGAAACUGCUAGACUUGAGUGCCGGAGAGGGAAGUGGAAUUCCUGGUGUAGGGGUGAAAUCCGUAGAUAUCAGGAGGAACACCGGUGGCGAAGGCGACUUCCUGGACGGCCACUGACGCUGAGACCCGAAAACGUGGGGAGCAAACAGGAUUAGAAACCCUAGUAGUCC
This 274-nucleotide ribosomal RNA is filed under the name uncultured bacterium. Its description in RNAcentral is "partial 16S ribosomal RNA". It matches the Rfam family "Bacterial small subunit ribosomal RNA", at positions 523 to 796 of the family's 1533-position model. The record is from RNAcentral.